UAAUACCAAUUCUACGUAAAUAUCAAAAUGACGUGGCCACGCGAUGUCUUCGAUUCAGCUAAUUUUUUUCUUACUGAAACUUCAAUGAAUGAAAAGAUUGACUAUAUGAAAGAAAGCAUGGUAGUUUAUCCGGUUGCCAUGGAAACGGGACUUGAAGGUGUAAAUUAUAGUGGAUUUUGCUAUUUAUCAAUAAUAUCAAAAAAUAUUUACUAGACAAAGCUGUUUAUGUUCAUAUUUUUUUUUAUAUCCUUCAUGACAAUCAAAACUAUGUAAAAAAUAGCCAAGGUCACAAAAAUUUUACAAUUUCUAAUUUUCUGAUGCCCAAAAAGUGAAUAAUUAGUCCUCGUUACCUCCGUUGUUAGACUUAAUAUUUAAAGACUUUGACAAGUGAUGUGAAAAUUCUAGUAGGAAGAUUUAGAUUCAAGAAAUGUUAUUUUGCAAAUAUCAUUUAAAACAUUUAUGGGUAAAUGAAAAAUAAACGUUUUAUUACACUAUAAAGUUGGGCUAGAUGUGCUUUUUCUCUAUCCGAGUUAUUUCCCUUGUUGGAGCUCUUCGGCAUUGAAGAAUACAAAAUGUGUAAAUUGUAAACAAGAUGGCAGACAAUGAAAUCUGCAGUUUUUCUUCUUGUUUUGAAACAUCUUGUUCAGGAAAAUUCUACCUCAAGAGACUCAGAAUUUGAUGACAAACAGUUGACAAAGUUGGGAUAAUCUUUAAGAAAAGCCAAAGGGUUGAUCUGGACAUGAUGAGUAUUACACGUAUAGCUACUCGUAGAAAAGAAAAUAUGAGGAAAUCAGGGUGGUAUGGGGGCGAAGGCCGAGAGGAUUUUAGCUGUUCCCUUCAAGAUGUCUUUGAAAUAGAGAUCGAGAGAUAAAUGUAGAAGUGUGGUAGUCCCCGACCGAUCCCAAUUACAAUGUCCCUUGCAAGAUUUUCCUAAUGAAGAUUCUCAGGAUUACAGAUCCUCUAGCAAGGAGACCACACAGAUAGAGAUGACCAGAGCAGAGGACAUACAGCCCCCCCCCCCCCCCCCCCGUAAAAAAAAAAAAAAAAAUUCAAAGUGGACUGGAAGU
Long non-coding RNA from Saccostrea cuccullata (small rock oyster), 1067 nucleotides. RefSeq lists it as uncharacterized. Lineage: Eukaryota; Metazoa; Mollusca; Bivalvia; Ostreida; Ostreidae. The record is from RefSeq and is a predicted model, not a curated record. The transcript has 3 exons.